Molecule: long non-coding RNA, 578 nt
Organism: Nomascus leucogenys (northern white-cheeked gibbon)
Lineage: Eukaryota; Metazoa; Chordata; Mammalia; Primates; Hylobatidae
Exons: 3
Source: RefSeq, a predicted model, not a curated record
AGGCGCAGCUGCAAAAACAAGGAUGGACCCAGUAAAGUUACAGAAGGGUCACUGCCAGGAAAGACAACAUCAUAUUCUGUUGGAAAGUCUCACAAAAUGCUUUUCUUGGAAUGUAUCGAGAACUCAGUGUCUCCAUGUUCAUGACUUGAAAAGAAAAAGCAUGUAAAUGAAUCUACAGCCAUUUCAGGGAAUACAGUUGUAAGUAAUGAUUUAAUCAAUACAUCUUUUGUUUAAUAUUGGAAAAGUGCCAAGUAAUAUGAAUUUUUUUUUUUUCCAGUGUUCUAACGGAAGUUUGUCUGUGGUUGCUUUGGACCAAGGCAGAGUGCUCUAAAGGUGGCUGUGCUGUACCCAGUACUGUGUCUUCUGAUGGGAGGUUCUGAAGCAACACUGUAACUGCUGAAUGCUUCUGGCUAGUUCUUUCCGCAGUAAAAGGCUCUGCAGACAUCUCCCGUGGCCCCUGGUCAUCACACAGGAGAGUGACUACCAUUACCUCAGCACCUUCACUGUCUCCAUCCACUGUGCCUGCUCACUCUCCCAGGGGUCCACCCGGAUCCAGUCGGAUGUCUGCAGGGCCAGUC